RNAcentral lists this transfer RNA (68 nucleotides) under Marmota monax (woodchuck). Its description in RNAcentral is "tRNA.Ala". The record is from RNAcentral. Lineage: Eukaryota; Metazoa; Chordata; Mammalia; Rodentia; Sciuridae.
GGUUUUUGGCUCAGCGGGAGAGUGCUUGCCUAGCAAGUGUGAGGCCCUGGGUUUGAUCCUCAGCACCA